Molecule: non-coding RNA, 322 nt
Organism: Thamnophis sirtalis
Lineage: Eukaryota; Metazoa; Chordata; Lepidosauria; Squamata; Natricidae
Source: RefSeq, a predicted model, not a curated record
GGAAGCUUAUGAGCCACUGUUGCACCAGACCCAGCCUUUGAAGAAGAAUCUUUUGGAAUCCUUUGAGAUUUUCCUGAAGAACAGAAAUGUUUCCACUGUACGGUCCAUGCUGGAGCUUUCCAUGGCAGGUGACAAUGCUGAUCGCUCCAUGUUGGAGUCAUUGAAUGAGGAAUUCCGAGUUCCAGUAGAAAUGCUGCUAUCCUACUUAGGGAUUUUCCAGGACACUAAAAGAGGAGAAAACCAAGAUCUCUGGGGACCAAUCUACUUCUUUUGUUCUUCUAUAGAUGAAUUAGACUAUGAGAUGAUGCCCCUCUUACAGAAA